GUUGCUUCCCUGCCUUGUGGCUGAGAGCAAGUGUAGUAUCUGCUCUUUCCAGGUUAAUAUCUGAUAUGUCCUCUAUCCGAGGACAAUACAGGAAAUGGAUUUUUGGAGAUGAGAGAUGGAACAGCAGCUUGCCGAAUCCAAGACAUUCAUUGACCUGGCAUUGCAGCCGUCCAGGAAUAGUGCCGCGCCC
Apodemus sylvaticus (European woodmouse) is the source of this 190-nucleotide small nuclear RNA. RefSeq annotates it as U2 spliceosomal RNA. The record is from RefSeq and is a predicted model, not a curated record. NCBI's taxonomy places the organism in Eukaryota, Metazoa, Chordata, Mammalia, Rodentia, Muridae. The transcript has a single exon.